This 199-nucleotide ribosomal RNA is filed under the name uncultured bacterium. Its description in RNAcentral is "partial 16S ribosomal RNA". It matches the Rfam family "Bacterial small subunit ribosomal RNA", at positions 523 to 717 of the family's 1533-position model. The record is from RNAcentral.
AUACGGAGGGGGCAAGCGUUGUUCGGAAUUACUGGGCGUAAAGCGCGCGUAGGCGGCGAUGCAAGUCAGAGGUGAAAUGCCCGGGCUCAACCUGGGAGGUGCCUUUGAUUACUGUUGUUGCUUGGAUCCAGGAGAGGUGAGCGGAAGUUCCGAGUGUAGAGGUGAAAAUUCGUAGAUAUUCGGAAGAACACCAGUUGGA